Molecule: non-coding RNA, 272 nt
Organism: Vicugna pacos (alpaca)
Lineage: Eukaryota; Metazoa; Chordata; Mammalia; Artiodactyla; Camelidae
Source: RefSeq, a predicted model, not a curated record
UGCGCAGGCGCCAGCUGGUAAGCCCAGUGGUGCGAAGAGCCCCAGUGCGUCAGAGCGGCGGCGGCGGCGGCGACGAUGACGAUCCCUGGGCUGGCUGACUGAGGUGCGGUCGGGCCAUGUCCCCAGGCAGCUGCUGAACUGGAGCGCCCGAGGAUGUCUGCGCUGAGGAAGAGUUAUGAAAAUUUGAAGUGGCUUUGGAGACACCAUUACAUUGUUCUUUAAAUUCUGUGAAUUUAUAAACGGUACCAUCCCAGCAAACCCUGCCCGACGUG